CGUGCAGGCGGGAAGGUAAGUCUGAUGUGAAAGCCCCGGGCUCAACCCGGGAAGUGCAUUGGAAACUGCUUUUCUUGAGUACUGGAGAGGAAGGGGGAAUUCCCGGUGUAGAGGUGAAAUUCGUAGAGAUCGGGAGGAAUACCAGUGGCGAAGGCGCCCUUCUGGACGGUUACUGACGCUGAGACGCGAAAGCGUGGGGAGCAAACA
RNAcentral lists this ribosomal RNA (207 nucleotides) under uncultured delta proteobacterium. RNAcentral describes it as "partial 16S ribosomal RNA". It matches the Rfam family "Bacterial small subunit ribosomal RNA", at positions 568 to 774 of the family's 1533-position model. Lineage: Bacteria; Deltaproteobacteria. The record is from RNAcentral.